AGUGAACGCUGGCGGUAGGCCUAACACAUGCAAGUCGAACGGCAGCACAGUAAGAGCUUGCUCUUACGGGUGGCGAGUGGCGGACGGGUGAGGAAUACAUCGGAAUCUACUUUUUCGUGGGGGAUAACGUAGGGAAACUUACGCUAAUACCGCAUACGACCUACGGGUGAAAGCAGUGGAUCUUCGCACCUUGCGCGAUUGAAUGAGCCGAUGCCGGAUUAGCUAGUUGGCGGGGUAAAGGCCCACCAAGGCGACGAUGCGUAGCUGGUCUGAGAGGAUGAUCAGCCACACUGGAACUGAGACACGGUCCAGACUCCUACGGGAGGCAGCAGUGGGGAAUAUUGGACAAUGGGCGCAAGCCUGAUCCAGCCAUACCGCGUGAGUGAAGAAGGCCUUCGGGUUGUAAAGCCCUUUUGUUGGGAAAGAAAAGCAGCAGGUUAAUACCCCGCUGUUCUGACGGUACCCAAAGAGUAAGCACCGGCUAACUUCGUG
RNAcentral lists this ribosomal RNA (492 nucleotides) under uncultured bacterium. Its description in RNAcentral is "partial 16S ribosomal RNA". It matches the Rfam family "Bacterial small subunit ribosomal RNA", at positions 29 to 507 of the family's 1533-position model. The record is from RNAcentral.